This 253-nucleotide ribosomal RNA is filed under the name uncultured bacterium. Its description in RNAcentral is "partial 16S ribosomal RNA". It matches the Rfam family "Bacterial small subunit ribosomal RNA", at positions 524 to 776 of the family's 1533-position model. The record is from RNAcentral.
UACGAGGGGGGCAAGCGUUGUUCGGAAUUAUUGGGCGUAAAGGGUGCGUAGGCGGCGGAGUAAGUUGGGUGUGAAAUCCCGAGGCUCAACCUCGGAAUUGCAUUCAAUACUGCUUCGCUCGAGUACUGGAGAGGAGGCUGGAAUUUACGGUGUAGCAGUGAAAUGCGUAGAUAUCGUAAGGAAGGCCGGUGGCGAAAGCGAGCCUCUGGACAGUUACUGACGCUGAUGCACGAAGGCCAGGGGAGCAAACGGG